This 253-nucleotide ribosomal RNA is filed under the name Leyella stercorea DSM 18206. Its description in RNAcentral is "Prevotella stercorea DSM 18206 partial 16S ribosomal RNA". It matches the Rfam family "Bacterial small subunit ribosomal RNA", at positions 524 to 776 of the family's 1533-position model. The record is from RNAcentral. Lineage: Bacteria; Pseudomonadati; Bacteroidota; Bacteroidia; Bacteroidales; Prevotellaceae.
UACGGAAGGUCCGGGCGUUAUCUGGAUUUAUUGGGUUUAAAGGGAGCGUAGGCCGUUUGGUAAGCGUGUUGUGAAAUGUCGGGGCUCAACCUGGGCAUUGCAGCGCGAACUGCUAGACUUGAGUGCGCAGGAAGUAGGCGGAAUUCGUCGUGUAGCGGUGAAAUGCUUAGAUAUGACGAAGAACUCCGAUUGCGAAGGCAGCCUGCUGUAGCGCAACUGACGCUGAAGCUCGAAAGCGUGGGUAUCGAACAGG